This is a long non-coding RNA of Hordeum vulgare subsp. vulgare (domesticated barley), 476 nucleotides long. RefSeq lists it as uncharacterized. The transcript is spliced from 2 exons. Lineage: Eukaryota; Viridiplantae; Streptophyta; Magnoliopsida; Poales; Poaceae. The record is from RefSeq and is a predicted model, not a curated record.
UUAAACACCAGCGAAAGCAGCUGCGCAUCAGCGAAUCGCCAAGAAGAGAUCAAACAUACAUACAGCGUAGAAAAGAGAUCAGUAUAGGUAGCUAGCUUCGCAUUUUGCCAUGGCGUUUACCAAGAGGAACACAAGCGUCGUAUGCUUGGCCGCCCUCAUUGUGGUGAUGGCCACCAUGAUGCUGUCAUGUGAUGCCGGAGAUUACUGCUUUGAUAUUCCCGGACCAUGCGUGCAAUCGUUAUGCAAGGAUGCGUGUGCUAAGAAAAAUUACCCCAAUAGACCCCGCUGCCAGCCCGUGACCGAUGAAUGCUGUUGUGACACUGCCGCAAAGCCCGACGUCGGCGACGCCAUCCGUCAUGAUUGAUAACAGAACCUUGAUUCAUUAUUGGACAAACUUUGUGGGUGGUCAUGAUAUGUAUAUGCAUGCAUGCAUGUUUGCCAACACUUGCAAGUUGAAUAACAAAAAACACAAAGAG